GACGAACGCUGGCGGCGUGCUUAACACAUGCAAGUCGAACGGAAAGGCCCUGCUUUUGUGGGGUGCUCGAGUGGCGAACGGGUGAGUAACACGUGAGUAACCUGCCCUUGACUUUGGGAUAACUUUAGGAAACUGGGGCUAAUAUCGGAUAGGAGCUCCUGCAGCAUGGUGUGGGUUGGAAAGUUUCGGCGGUGGGGGAUGGACUGGCGGGUUAUCAGCUUGUUGGUGGAGUAGUGGCUUACCAAGGCUUUGACGGGUAGGCGGCCUGGGAGGGUGACCGGCCACAUUGGGACUGAGAUACGGCGCAGACUCCAACGGGAGGCAGCAGUGGGGAAUAUUGCACAAUGGGCGGAAGCCUGAUGCAGCAACGCCGGGUGCGGGAUGACGGCCUUCGGGUUGUAAACCGCUUUCGCCUGUGACGAAGCGUGAGUGACGGUAAUGGGUAAAGAAGCCCCGGCUAACUACGUG
This 468-nucleotide ribosomal RNA is filed under the name uncultured bacterium. RNAcentral describes it as "partial 16S ribosomal RNA". It matches the Rfam family "Bacterial small subunit ribosomal RNA", at positions 28 to 507 of the family's 1533-position model. The record is from RNAcentral.